AUUGAACGCUGGCGGCAGGCCUAACACAUGCAAGUCGGGCGGGCGGCGGACGUGUGAGUAAUGUAUGUGGAUGUGCCUGGUGGAGGGGGAUCGCUACUGGGAACGGUAGCUACUACCGCAUACCAUCAGCUGAACCCAUAUGGGAAUAGCUUGUAGGUGAGGUAACGGCUCACCUAGGCGACUAUCCCUAGCUGGUCUGAGAGGAUGACCAGCCACACUGGAACUGAGACACGGUCCAGACUCCUACGGGAGGCAGCAGUGGGGAAUAUUGCGCAAGGGGCGAAACCCUGACGCAGCCAUGCCGCGUGAAUGAAGAAGGUCUUCGGGUUGUAAAGUUCUUUAGGUAGCGAGGCGUUAACAACAGAAGAAGCACCGGCUAACUCCGUGCCAGCAGCCGCGGUAAUAC
RNAcentral lists this ribosomal RNA (406 nucleotides) under uncultured bacterium. RNAcentral describes it as "partial 16S ribosomal RNA". It matches the Rfam family "Bacterial small subunit ribosomal RNA", at positions 30 to 526 of the family's 1533-position model. The record is from RNAcentral.